AGGAUGAACGCUGGCGGCGUGCCUAACACAUGCAAGUCGAACGUCCUGUCUCGCAAGAGGCAGGGAGUGGCGGACGGGUGAGUACCACGUGGGUUAUCUACCGUGAGGUGAGGAAUACCGGCGAGAAAUCGCCGACAAGACCGCAUAGCCUCGGUGCAAGCCGAGGAAAGCUUUCUCGAGAGAGGGAGCGCCACACGAGGAGCCUGCGCCCGAUUAGCUAGCUGGUGGAGUAACGGUUCACCAGGGCGACGAUCGGUAGCUGGUCUGAGAGGACGAUCAGCCACACUGGGAUUGAGAACGGCCCAGACUCCUACGGGGGGCAGCAGUGAGGAAUUUUCGUCAAUGGGGCAACCCUGAACGAGCAACGCCGCGUGCAGGAAGAAGGUUUUCGGAUCGUAAACUGCUUUUCUCGGGGAAGAGAACGGACGGUACCCGAGGAAUCAGCCCCGGCUAACUACGUGCCAGCAGCCGCGGUAA
RNAcentral lists this ribosomal RNA (477 nucleotides) under uncultured bacterium. RNAcentral describes it as "SSU rRNA". It matches the Rfam family "Bacterial small subunit ribosomal RNA", at positions 26 to 523 of the family's 1533-position model. The record is from RNAcentral.